RNAcentral lists this ribosomal RNA (497 nucleotides) under uncultured bacterium. Its description in RNAcentral is "partial 16S ribosomal RNA". It matches the Rfam family "Bacterial small subunit ribosomal RNA", at positions 28 to 507 of the family's 1533-position model. The record is from RNAcentral.
GAUGAACGCUGGCGGCGUGCCUAAUACAUGCGAGUCGAGCGAACAGACGAGGAGCUUGCUCCUCUGACGUUAGCGGCGGACGGGUGAGUAACACGUGGAUAACCUACCUAUAAGACUGGGAUAACUUCGGGAAACCGGAGCUAAUACCGGAUAAUAUAUUGAACCGCAUGGUUCAAUAGUGAAAGACGGUUUUGCUGUCACUUAUAGAUGGAUCCGCGCCGCAUUAGCUAGUUGGUAAGGUAACGGCUUACCAAGGCAACGAUGCGUAGCCGACCUGAGAGGGUGAUCGGCCACACUGGAACUGAGGCACGGUCCAGACUCCUACGGGAGGCAGCAGUAGGGAAUCUUCCGCAAUGGGCGAAAGCUUGACGGAGCAACGCCGCGUGAGUGAUGAAGGUCUUCGGAUCGUAAAACUCUGUUAUUGGGGAAGAACAAAUGUGUAAGUAACUAUGCACGUCUUGACGGUACCUAAUCAGAAAGCCACGGCUAACUACGUG